CCUACGGGUGGCAGCAGUCGAGAAUCAUUCACAAUGGGGGAAACCCUGAUGGGGCGACGCCGCGUGGGGGAAUGAAGGUCUGCGGAUUGUAAACCCCUGUCAUGUGGGAGCAAAUUAAAAAGAGAGUACCACAAGAGGAAGAGACGGCGAACGCUGGGCCAGCAGCCGCGGUAAUACAGAGGUCUCAAGCGUUGUUCGGAAUCACUGGGCGGAAAGCGUGCGUAGGCUGUUUCGUAAGUCGUGUGUGAAAGGCGCGGGCUCAACCCGCGGACGGCACAUGAUACUGCGAGACUAGAGUAAUGGAGUGGCAACCGGACUUCUCGGUGUAGCCGUGCACUGCGUCGAUAUCGUGCG
This 354-nucleotide ribosomal RNA is filed under the name uncultured bacterium. Its description in RNAcentral is "partial 16S ribosomal RNA". It matches the Rfam family "Bacterial small subunit ribosomal RNA", at positions 338 to 703 of the family's 1533-position model. The record is from RNAcentral.